GAUGAACGCUAGCUACAGGCUUAACACAUGCAAGUCGAGGGGAAACGGCAUUUAGUGCUUGCACCGAAUGGACGUCGACCGGCGCACGGGUGAGUAACGCGUAUCCAACCUUCCCAUAACUAAGGAAUAACCUGCCGAAAGGCAGACUAAUACCUUAUGUAAUCCUUUGAUGGCAUCAGAUAAGGAUAAAAGAUUUAUCGGUUAUGGAUGGGGAUGCGUCUGAUUAGCUUGUUGGCGGGGUAACGGCCCACCAAGGCAACGAUCAGUAGGGGUUCUGAGAGGAAGGUCCCCCACAUUGGAACUGAGACACGGUCCAAACUCCUACGGGAGGCAGCAGUGAGGAAUAUUGGUCAAUGGACGGAAGUCUGAACCAGCCAAGUAGCGUGCAGGAUGACGGCCCUAUGGGUUGUAAACUGCUUUUGUAUGGGGAUAAAGUCAAUCACGUGUGAUUGUUUGCAGGUACCAUACGAAUAAGGACCGGCUAAUUCCGUGCCAGCAGCCGCGGUAAUACGGAAGGUUCGGGCGUUAUCCGGAUUUAUUGGGUUUAAAGGGAGCGUAGGCCGGAGAUUAAGUGUGUUGUGAAAUGUAGACGCUCAACGUCUGACUUGCAGCGCAUACUGGUUUCCUUGAGUACGCACAACGUUGGCGGAAUUCGUCGUGUAGCGGUGAAAUGCUUAGAUAUGACGAAGAACUCCGAUUGCGAAGGCAGCUGACGGGAGCGCAACUGACGCUGAAGCUCGAAGGUGCGGGUAUCGAACAGG
Molecule: ribosomal RNA, 761 nt
Filed under: Prevotella melaninogenica
Lineage: Bacteria; Pseudomonadati; Bacteroidota; Bacteroidia; Bacteroidales; Prevotellaceae
Description: bacterial SSU rRNA
Rfam family: Bacterial small subunit ribosomal RNA
Source: RNAcentral